This 445-nucleotide ribosomal RNA is filed under the name uncultured bacterium. Its description in RNAcentral is "SSU rRNA". It matches the Rfam family "Bacterial small subunit ribosomal RNA", at positions 26 to 518 of the family's 1533-position model. The record is from RNAcentral.
AGGGCGAACGCUGGCGGCAGGCCUAACACAUGCAAGUCGAACGAACCCUUCGGGGUUAGUGGCAGACGGGUGAGUAACACGUGGGAACGUGCCUUUUGGUUCGGAACAACUCAGGGAAACUUGAGCUAAUACCGGAUAAGCCCCUAGGGGGAAAGAUUUAUCGCCAUUAGAGCGGCCCGCGUCUGAUUAGCUAGUUGGUGAGGUAAAGGCUCACCAAGGCUUCGAUCAGUAGCUGGUCUGAGAGGAUGAUCAGCCACACUGGGACUGAGACACGGCCCAGACUCCUACGGGAGGCAGCAGUGGGGAAUAUUGGACAAUGGGCGAAAGCCUGAUCCAGCAAUGCCGCGUGAGUGAUGAAGGCCUUAGGGUUGUAAAGCUCUUUUACCCGGGAUGAUAAUGACAGUACCGGAGAAUAAGCUCCGGCUAACUCCGUGCCAGCAGCCGC